UGAGUUCAUACUACAAUGAAAAUUGCCUUUU
This 31-nucleotide non-coding RNA is filed under the name Mus musculus (house mouse). The record is from RNAcentral. Lineage: Eukaryota; Metazoa; Chordata; Mammalia; Rodentia; Muridae.